AAUACAAUGUGUAGCUUUUUAAGAGCAUCAUUGCUGCAAGUAAGUGGUGGUAAAAACCUCCUGUAAAAUAACAAGUUUUUUUACUUAAAUGAAAUAUGGCUUAAAAAGUUGACUAAGGUUAUUAUAUACUUUGAAAAAUCUUUAGUUAUAAAGACGUUAGAGACUAAUUAAGUAAAAUUAACGUGGUAUUAUCCAUACAACCUAAUUGUUGUUAUACAGUAACUAUAAUGGUUGUAACAUCAAUCUGACAGUCGGCGAGAAGGAAGCUAAGACUGAGAGAGUCGCUAGUUCAGACACUCGGUUCUCAUGUUUAGUGUUCACGAGUUUAAACAUCCCCCACUUGUCUACAGCAUGAAAAAACAGAACAUACGCACAUGCUUAUGAAAUGAUUAGGCAAAACGAGAGGUGAUGUUCACUAUUACAAAAAACACAUAAGCACAAUGUCAAUUUUAAGAGCCUGGUGUACCAUAAAGACUACUACUGUAUUUAUGCACAUUCGAAAAGGUAUGCACAAUAAAAGACCAUGAAAGUCAAUAAAAACUGCUGUUAAUGAGCAAGACUAAAGAAAGCGUUAAUCAACCUCAAGCGACAAGAAGAUCGGGUUGUGAUAGGGCUAGAGGAAGUAAGUAUCAAGGCUAAAUAUGCAUACAAUCAUACAACGUAACUUCACAGAAGAAAUAGCUUAAAUUUAUUAACUUGCUGACAUAUUUUUAUAUCAAGUAUUGGAUGAUACUACAGGCUGCUUCUAUAGGGAAAAGAAAACCAAUAAACAUCAGAGUGGUUACAAACUAUACAAACAUGUGCAAGAAUCCAGCCUUGAAUUUGCUUGCAUUUAUACAGUGGAUGGCGACGUACCAUUGCAUGCGCUGUAUUUUAAAUGUUAAAUCAAAAUCAGCAUCGAUUUUAUGAUUGGCACAAAAAAUAAGAAGAAUGUUCUGAGCAUCACAGAUAUUUAUGACUCAAUUGGAAGUGAAAUGUCAGCUGCUAUUGUUGGCCUCCAUUCAGGACAUUGGGAAAGUGAAGGCCUAUAAAGUUGUGAAGAAUUCCCCACAAUGUCAAAGAGCAUUUAAGAAUUUGGGAACUCUUAUUUACGAUGCAUUUCUGACUGUCUGUGAAACGCCAUCAUUUCACAGUAGUGUUUUUUCUGGGUGUUUUAAGUGAUUUUAAGCUAGCAGACCAAUUGGAAUAUAUUUUUUAGACCAUAUGGAACAUAUACUACUCAAACCUUUUAGUUUACAUGACUCUCAACAAUUAAGUCCCUAUUGCUCGCUGGCUAUUCACAUUUUUGCCAUACAUUUUUGCUGUAAAAAUCUCUACGCCACACUUGUUAAUUCAAGAAUUGCAUGUGCAGUUUCCGAGAUGAAAAGAGGAUAGUUAUUCAGUUUUUGAAAUGAUUGGUGCAUUGAAAAGUAACAAAAACUUUUAUUUCAAACCUGAUGGAUUUUGCUAUUAGGUAUAACUAUCACAUACUGCUUUAAUGGAGCAACAUGUUGGUGCUGCAAUUGAGAGAUCUUUUUACUAUGACCAGAAAUAGUUUUUGAAAAGUAUGUCUCUAUAUAUAUAACAGUCAGAGACAACUGCAAAUUAGACACGCCAGCUUACUCAAAAAGUCAUCUUUGUACUUUGCAGGAAUAGUAAAUAAUAUAUACAUUAAAUGUUUUUUGCAUUGGCUAAUUAGGUUAGGUAUAGACUAUUUGGGCUAUGGACAGCCAUAUUAACAAAAAUAGACUUACAGUACCGUAAAAAGG
Hydractinia symbiolongicarpus is the source of this 1748-nucleotide long non-coding RNA. RefSeq lists it as uncharacterized. The record is from RefSeq and is a predicted model, not a curated record. The transcript has 3 exons. NCBI's taxonomy places the organism in Eukaryota, Metazoa, Cnidaria, Hydrozoa, Anthoathecata, Hydractiniidae.